This is a non-coding RNA of Paramuricea clavata, 381 nucleotides long. The record is from the annotation of a GenBank genome assembly. Lineage: Eukaryota; Metazoa; Cnidaria; Anthozoa; Malacalcyonacea; Plexauridae.
AAUUCUAUAUUACAGAAGUUUAAAGUUACAUUACAAAUUAGCUAUGAAACUAGUAAAUUUCUAAAAAAAAGUUAGCCAGUCUAAAACUGAAUAUCAGAAUCGAUUGUCAGUUAAUAUUAUUGAUAUGCCUUGCAGAUGAAGGGAAAAAACUGUUUCUAAAUCUGUUCGUUUUGGUCUGAGGAACAACAAAAGACCUUGAGUGUCUAAGGUCGUAAUUUGGAAAGCAUCUAGAUGGUACAUGAUUAUGCAUAUUAGCUACUGGUGUUGUGGUGAUUUCAUUAAACAGUUUCUCGCAUGCAUCCACACGCCUGUCACUUAAUGGUUUGAUGCCCGAUUUUUGUAAACAAUCCGCAUAACCUGUCAGUGGAUAGAUGAUUGAUA